GAUCCUGGCUCAGGACGAACGCUGGCGGCGUGCCUAACACAUGCAAGUCGAGCGGGGAAUAUUGAGUAGCUUGCUACUUGGUAUUUCUAGCGGCGGACGGGUGAGUAACGCGUGAGCAACCUGCCUUUAUCAGGGGGAUAACGCAUCGAAAGAUGUGCUAAUACCGCGUAAGACCACAGCUUAACAUGGAGCAGGGGUCAAAGGAGCAAUCCGGAUAAAGAUGGGCUCGCGUCCGA
This 236-nucleotide ribosomal RNA is filed under the name uncultured bacterium. RNAcentral's name for it is "partial 16S ribosomal RNA". It matches the Rfam family "Bacterial small subunit ribosomal RNA", at positions 15 to 240 of the family's 1533-position model. The record is from RNAcentral.